This 956-nucleotide ribosomal RNA is filed under the name Agaricus julius. Its description in RNAcentral is "partial large subunit ribosomal RNA". It matches the Rfam family "Eukaryotic large subunit ribosomal RNA", at positions 27 to 974 of the family's 3401-position model. The record is from RNAcentral. Lineage: Eukaryota; Fungi; Basidiomycota; Agaricomycetes; Agaricales; Agaricaceae.
GCUGAAACUAAGCAUAUCAAUAAGCGGAGGAAAAGAAACUAACAAGGAUUCCCUAGUAACUGCGAGUGAAGCGGGAAAAGCUCAAAUUUAAAAUCUGGCGGUCUCUGGCCGUCCGAGUUGUAAUCUAGAGAAGUAAUGCCCGUGCUGGACCGUGUAUAAGUCUCCUGGGAUGGGGCGUCAUAGAGGGUGAGAAUCCCGUCUUUGACACGGACUACCAGUGCAUUGUGGUAUGCUCUCAAAGAGUCGAGUUGUUUGGGAAUGCAGCUCAAAAUGGGUGGUAAAUUCCAUCUAAAGCUAAAUAUUGGCGAGAGACCGAUAGCGAACAAGUACCGUGAGGGAAAGAUGAAAAGAACUUUGGAAAGAGAGUUAAACAGUACGUGAAAUUGCUGAAAGGGAAACGCUUGAAGUCAGUCGCGUUGGCCGGGGAUCAGCCUUGCUUUUGCAUGGUGUACUUUCUGGUUGACGGGUCAGCAUCAAUUUUGACCGCUGGAAAAAGACCUGGGGAAUGUGGCAGCUUCGGCUGUGUUAUAGCCCCUAGUCGCAUACAGUGGUUGGGAUUGAGGAACUCAGCACGCCGCAAGGCCGGGUUUCGACCACGUUCGUGCUUAGGAUGCUGGCAUAAUGGCUUUAAGCGACCCGUCUUGAAACACGGACCAAGGAGUCUAACAUGCCUGCGAGUAUUUGGGUGGAAAACCCAAGUGCGUAAUGAAAGUGAAAGUUGAGAUCCCUGUCGUGGGGAGCAUCGACGCCCGGACCAGAACUUUUGGGACGGAUCCGCGGUGGAGCAUGUAUGUUGGGACCCGAAAGAUGGUGAACUAUGCCUGAAUAGGGUGAAGCCAGAGGAAACUCUGGUGGAGGCUCGUAGCGAUUCUGACGUGCAAAUCGAUCGUCAAAUUUGGGUAUAGGGGCGAAAGACUAAUCGACCAUCUAGUAGCUGGUUCUGCCGAGUUUCCCUC